UGCCAUGAUGUCGUAAUUUGCGUCCUACUCUGUGCUCAGUGACAGUUGCCUGCUGUCAGUGAACUGGCACAGAUGGUUGACGAGCAGUUAAUGCUGAGCA
This is a small nucleolar RNA of Coturnix japonica (Japanese quail), 100 nucleotides long. Its record names the gene SNORD16. It matches the Rfam family "Small nucleolar RNA SNORD16". From Rfam's summary of the family: U16 is a member of the C/D class of snoRNA which contain the C (UGAUGA) and D (CUGA) box motifs. U81 acts as a guanine methylation guide and is found in an intron of ribosomal proteins L1 gene in animals. Lineage: Eukaryota; Metazoa; Chordata; Aves; Galliformes; Phasianidae. The record is from Ensembl.